Equus quagga is the source of this 2219-nucleotide RNA transcript. It is a transcript of the gene named leucine rich repeat containing 75B, with no coding region annotated. The transcript has 5 exons. NCBI's taxonomy places the organism in Eukaryota, Metazoa, Chordata, Mammalia, Perissodactyla, Equidae. The record is from RefSeq and is a predicted model, not a curated record.
AUGGGGGCGCGGCUGGGCCGGCGGGCCGGACCCGAGGCGGGCUCCGAGGCCCGGGCGGCGGCGGGGUGCGGGCCCGCGCCCUAUGAGCGCCGGGUGCGCUGGCUCCGCGAGAUCCAGUCCACACUCCGCGAGCGGCGGCCCGAGCGCGCCCGGCAGCUGCUGCGCCUCCUGCGCCAGGACCUGGGCCUUGAGGGGACCCUCCUCACUGACAUCCUCUACAGGAACGUGGCCUUCCUCAAUCUGGUGGACCCCAUCUCCCAUGACCUGCUUGUGAACCUGGCCCGGGACCUGCAGUGCCCCAAAACGGACUAUGAGCUCUGGAAGUCCUCGGACAAGAUCUGCCGGCAGCUCAUCUACCACCUCACCCCUCACUCCAAGCGGCAGCAAGGGUCCAACCUGCCCCGGAGGAAGACCCAGAGCUGCCUCAAGAGCAGCCUCCAGAAGACUCUGCUGGCAGGGGAGACUGUUAACCUCUCAGGAAUCCCGCUGUCAGCGCGGGACGUGCAGCACAUAACGCGCUACCUGGGCAGCCAGGGCGUGGGGCUCGCCGUGCUGGACCUGAGCUUCACGGAGCUAAGUGACGAGCUGCUGGGCCUGCUGCUGCCCAGCCUCUGGGCGCUGCCCCGCCUCACCCAGCUCCUGCUCAACGGCAACCGGCUGACACAGGCUGCCGCCCGCGAGCUCACUGAGGCGGUCAAGGACACCAGCAAGUUCCCGGCGCUGGCCUGGGUAGACCUGGGUAACAACGUGGAUGUGGCCUCUCUGCCUCAGCCCCUGCUGCUCGGCCUGCGCCGGCGGCUGAGCCAGCGCACCUCGCUCCCCACCAUCUAUGAGGGCAUGGUCCUUGAGCCUGAGGACCUUGAGUCUGAGGACAGUGCAGCCACCGUUGCCUCCACCUGGGGCUCUGCAGCAGCCGGGCCAGGGCCAGAGCCCCAGGCCUGCUGCACUAGGUGACCCGCCACCUACCCUGGCUCCUGCUACCUGACGAUGCUCCCAAACACAUGAGAUAGAAGGUGAUGGAGACCACGGAGGUGCCCCAAGCCCCCAGAGAUCCAGUGCAAAUGCUCAGCCUGGGUUUAAGGAGAUGGAAGAAGAAUGAGCCCAGUGGAGGCCAAAUGGUCAACCCAGGUGGGGAGUCUCAGCCUUCUCUCAGUAAGAAGGGCCUGGCACCCACUGUGCAGACCCCACAAUAAAAGGAGGUGGGUGCUAUUACAACCUUCAUUUUGGAGGUGAGCGAACUGAGGCAGGGAGAGGUCACGCGGCUUGCCCAAGGUCAAACAGUGAGGAAGUGGAGGAGCCGGGAUGUGAGCCAGGUGGCCUGGCUUCCAUCUGUGACAUGAAUGGCUGUGAUGCCACCCGUCCCCCAGCCAUCCCAGAGGUGAGGGUUCACCAGCACUCCUGAGCAAGCCCCUGCCCAAGAGGCCAUUGGAGGCGGGAGAAGCACGGCGGUGGCUCUGCUGGCGGGCGUCCUGCAGCGGGGAGCAGACUUCCAGCCGUGCUGCCCCUGGAGCAAGACCAGUCAGGACCUCCCUGGGCCUCAGUCUUCUUGUGUGCAAAAUGGGUGGGGAGGGGAGCCAUGAGGAUCCGGGCUCUGUUCUUUUCCAGGAAUGAAAGGGACUAAUGAGGAGUGGGUUUGGAGGUACUUGUCCGACUGAAUGAAGCCCAGCCGCGUGCCCAGGGGUGCUGGAUCCACACCCACCCCUGGCAGUGUGGCUGGGACAGCUGCAGGUGCCCUCACCUCGUGGAGCCUCAGCCUCCUCAAGCCUAAAGCCACCUUGCCAGGAUGCUGCCAGCAUUGAAAGGAGACACGCGCAGAAGAUACCUGUGCUCUGCUGUGUACUGAGAAAGAACAAAGUGGCCAGACCAAGUGUUGCCGGCUUGGAGUGCAAUACGGUACAUUUCGACUUGUGCAUACAUCCAUGAAACCAGCACCGCAAUCAAGAUGGUCGCACAUCUGUCACACCCAUACUGUCACCCUUGAUAAUCCCUCCCUCCCACCCCCGUCCCCAAGCAACCAUUGGUCUACUUUCUGUCCCUCUAGAUUAGUUUACAUUUCCUAGAGUUUUAGAUAUACGGAAUCAUACAAGGUGUACUUUUUCAUAUGUGACUUCUUUCACUCGGCAUUAAUUAUUUUGAGACUUGCUCAUGUUGUUGCGUGUAUCAAUAGUUCCUUUUUUUUUUUCGUAAGGAAGAUUGGCCCUGAGCUAACAUCUGUUGCC